This 627-nucleotide ribosomal RNA is filed under the name Triticum aestivum (bread wheat). RNAcentral describes it as "partial small subunit ribosomal RNA". The record is from RNAcentral. Lineage: Eukaryota; Viridiplantae; Streptophyta; Magnoliopsida; Poales; Poaceae.
AUGGCCUCCACGGGCGCCGGCGGGAUCGUGGUCACCAUGAAGGGCCUCGCCGCCAGCGACGGCGCCGGCGUCCUGUCGAUGCGGCGCGUCAAGAGGAGCUUCGAGUCGGCCUUCGCCGGGCUGCCGUCGCCCGCGGUCUUCGGCGGCGAGACGCCCCUGGUCGUCACGCGGGCGAGGAACUACACCGCGCGCGACAUGCCGGAGUUCCUGUCGGCGGCCGGGCUCCCGGCGUCCGCCGUGAGCCUGUACCUGUCGCGGGCGCUGCCGGUGGCGCUCAACCUGAGGGCGCCGCUGGUGCCCAUGACGUGCGUCAACGGCGUGGGCGUGCCCACCCCGGAGAAGCUGGUAUACUGGGACGGCGACGUCGACAAAGACCCUGAGGUGCUGCACGGGGACGGCGACGGAGUGGUCAAUCUGGCGAGCAUACUUGCCCUGGACGCGGUUUUCGGUGAGGAUCCGGGGCAGCGGGGAUGCUACAGGUCUAUCAAAAUGGCAAACACCACCCACAUCGGCGUCGUGUCGGAUGCUUUCGCCGUUGAGCGUCUAGUCCAUGAGAUUCUUGAAGCAGGUCGCGCCAACCAGACAUGUGUGCUACCCACUGCCGGCCACUGGCCACUCAGAAUAUGA